This 441-nucleotide ribosomal RNA is filed under the name uncultured bacterium. RNAcentral describes it as "partial 16S ribosomal RNA". It matches the Rfam family "Bacterial small subunit ribosomal RNA", at positions 338 to 795 of the family's 1533-position model. The record is from RNAcentral.
CCUACGGGUGGCAGCAGUGGGGGAUAUUGCACAAUGGGGGGAACCCUGAUGCAGCGACGCCGCGUGUGGGAAGACGGUCCUCUGGAUUGUAAACCACUGUCCCCAGGGACGAAAAUGACGGUACCUGGGGAGGAAGCUCCGGCUAACUACGUGCCAGCAGCCUCGGUAAUACGUAGGGGGCAAGCGUUAUCCGGAUUUACUGGGUGUAAAGGGAGCGUAGACGGUAUGGCAAGUCUGAAGUGAAAGCCUAGGGCUGAACCCUGGGAUUGCUUUGGAAACUGUUAGACUCGAGUGCUGGAGAGGUAAGUGGAAUUCCUAGUGUAGCGGUGAAAUGCGUAGAUAUUAGGAGGAACACCAGUGGCGAAGGCGGCUUACUGGACAGUAACUGACGUUGAGGCUCGAAAGUGUGGGGAGCAAACAGGAUUAGAUACCCGUGUAGUC